AGACAUGAUGCUAACCCACAGGUCUCUGGAGCAGCUGCUGGUCUCUCUCCAGUGGGGUCGACAGCAGACCUACUACCCCAGUGGCCAGCCACUCAGCACGGGAGAACUAGCCCUAGCCAAUCACAAGCUGGCGGACGCCAUCAACUCCCGCCUGCUGGGAAGGUUGGGCCAGUAGGGAGCAGCAGUGGAGCCGGGCUGGGGGAAAGGAAGACAGGUCUCAGAGCUCCCUAACACCUCACACGCCUGCUGAGAAGAUGGCUGAGAAGGUGUUGAAGAUCCUGGACCCGAUUUCCUGUUCAGACAACGAGGAAGAGCCCUCCCCCCUCUCUAUCUCCGACUCCUCCCCUCGGCCUUCCUGACCAAUAAGAAGAGCAUCGGCCGGUUCCACCCUUACACUCGCUAUGAGAACAUCACCUUCAACUGCUGCGAGCGCUGCAGCGGAGACAUCCUGGUCCUCUAGGGGCCAGAGGGCAGGGGUCGUGACCUUUAACCUGGACAGGUCGCGCAGGCCGCUGUGAGGAACACCAGUCGACUCUCACUCCGUCGAACCGUCUGGUUUCACAGCGGGACUUGACUGGAAGCACGGCAGAAGCUGACGAAACAACCGCUGAUUUUAAUUGGCUGAUCUCUCUCAGUCCGUCACCGUCUCAUAACUCUUAGAACCUUCCACGACAUUGUGGGCUUCAGAACGUGAGCAGAGCAAGUGAUUUAAACAAGGAAGUGAGUUCGGAGAAUCUGAAAGUGUUCCAUCUUAGAAUCAAUGGGGCUUCCCAAAAAUAAUAUGGUCAAAGUCGGACCACGGACGGCCGAGUGUCUGUGGGUUUCUGGUCCUUCCUUGUACUUGACUGGUGAAUUGAGGUUACUGAUUAGUAAGCAACUACCUUCACCUGGUUGUCUAGGUUACUAAUUAGUAAGGAACUCUCCUCACCUGGUUGUCUAGGUUACUGAUUAGUAAGCAACUACCUUCACCUGGUUGUCUAGGUAACUAAUUAGUAAGGAACUCUCCUCACCUGGUUGUCUAGGUUACUAAUUAGUAAGGAACUCUCCUCACCUGGUUGUCUAGGUUACUGAUUAGUAAGCAACUACCUUCACCUGGUUGUCUAGGUUACUAAUUAUUAAGGAACUCU
Molecule: long non-coding RNA, 1127 nt
Organism: Oncorhynchus keta (chum salmon)
Lineage: Eukaryota; Metazoa; Chordata; Actinopteri; Salmoniformes; Salmonidae
Exons: 3
Source: RefSeq, a predicted model, not a curated record